This is a long non-coding RNA of Oryzias melastigma (Indian medaka), 357 nucleotides long. RefSeq lists it as uncharacterized. The record is from RefSeq and is a predicted model, not a curated record. NCBI's taxonomy places the organism in Eukaryota, Metazoa, Chordata, Actinopteri, Beloniformes, Adrianichthyidae. The transcript has 3 exons.
CCUCCUCAAGAAUCAGGAUUUGACAUAUUUAUCGGAUCUGAAUUGGAGCAGAGCUGGACUGAGAUGCCGUCUCCAGUUUGGAGAACUAUGCUCAAACUUGGAUAAAAAGUUUGCACGGAAGUUGUAUGGCUUUUUCAGAUUUGGUUUCUGGACAUCCUGUAAGAAAAAGAAGCAGAAGAAGAAGAAGAAGUCUUUGUUUGUAGGAAACAUCCCUCUGGAAGAGGUGCGAUGGAGGGACGGCCGUGGGCGCAUUGGAAGGGCAGCUGGCAAGAAGACAAAGACGCCACUAAGCUGUGGCAUUCGUCCCUGUUUAGAACAUCAUUGAACUUGACAGCACCUGUUUAGGAGCAAAGGUGA